AGUGGCGAACGGGUGAGUAACGCGUGAGUAUCUGCCCUUAGGAGGUGGACAACAGUUGGAAACGACUGCUAAUACCCCAUAUGUCUACGGAUGAAAGAUUUUAUCGCCUGAGGAUGAGUUCGCGUCUGAUUAGCUAGUUGGUGAGGUAAAGGCUCACCAAGGCGACGAUCAGUAGCUGGUCUGAGAGGAUGAUCAGCCACACUGGGACUGAGACACGGCCCAGACUCCUACGGGAGGCAGCAGUGGGGAAUUUUCCGCAAUGGGGGCAACCCUGACGGAGCAAUACCGCGUGCGGGAGGACGGCCUGUGGGUUGUAAACCGCUUUUCUCAGGGAAGAAGACCUGACGGUACCUGAGGAAUCAGCAUCGGCUAACUCCGUGCCAGCAGCCGCGGUAAUACGGAGGAUGCAAGCGUUAUCCGGAAUUAUUGGGCGUAAAGCGUCCGUAGGUGGUUAAUCAAGUCUGCUGUUAAAGAGCGGAGCUCAACUCCGUUUAAGCGGUGGAAACUGGUUGACUAGAGAGUGGUAGGGGUAGAGGGAAUUCCCAGUGUAGCGGUGAAAUGCGUAGAUAUUGGGAAGAACACCGGUGGCGAAAGCGCUCUACUGGGCCACAUCUGACACUGAUGGACGAAGCUAGGGGAGCGAAAGGGAUUAGAUACCCC
Molecule: ribosomal RNA, 660 nt
Filed under: uncultured bacterium
Lineage: Bacteria
Description: bacterial SSU rRNA
Rfam family: Bacterial small subunit ribosomal RNA
Source: RNAcentral